This 47-nucleotide transfer RNA is filed under the name Corydoras maculifer (dotted corydoras). RNAcentral describes it as "partial tRNA-Ser". Lineage: Eukaryota; Metazoa; Chordata; Actinopteri; Siluriformes; Callichthyidae. The record is from RNAcentral.
AGAGGCUUCAAGCAUUAAGGACUGCUAAUCCCUACCCCCCUGGUUAA